This is a non-coding RNA of Camellia sinensis, 637 nucleotides long. The record is from RefSeq and is a predicted model, not a curated record. NCBI's taxonomy places the organism in Eukaryota, Viridiplantae, Streptophyta, Magnoliopsida, Ericales, Theaceae.
UCCUUAAUUUUGGACUUGUGAUUCUAGGAUUUGUCAUAUUAGUGAAUAUCAUAUGGGGCUAGCUCCUCUUUGCUCGUUUUUUAGUUAAAAUCAGAAAUUUAGCCCUCAACAAUUUCAUUUAGCAGUCUCACAUACAAUGAUGCAGCAUAGUUUGAGUGGUGACGUGAAGGACCUUAUAGGCAUGCACAAGAUAGGAUCCAAUCCCAUUUAUUUACCUCAUUUGAGUGUUUUUGCUUUGAAUGCAGACACAAAUUGAUUACAAGGUCAUAAACAUGGACCGAUGGAUAGGUUUCUAUCGGUUUUGCAAUGAGUUCCUUGCUAUUCAAAUGUUGAGAGAAGACAUGGUGCCUCACCCUCAGUCAUCGUUAUAGGUGGUGGUUUUGCCAGUAUGGCAGCUGCUCAGGCCCUUCAUGAUGCUUCAUUUUAGCAGGGAGAAAAUGAACUCCUUGGAGUUGAUGGCAAGUAUGACAAAAUGUCAAGUUUUCAAGGACACAAUUAGGUCAUAUUGAACUUGUGGAAUUCAAUUUCCUGGCCAUGCAAAAUUUGAAUUCUCUUCCAGGAGACUCCAAAUAUUUGACUAAUUGAUCUACGAUUUGUAGUUAUGCUUUUUGGAUGUUUAAAGUUGUAGUUUAGAGAU